Molecule: long non-coding RNA, 444 nt
Filed under: Dasypus novemcinctus (nine-banded armadillo)
Lineage: Eukaryota; Metazoa; Chordata; Mammalia; Cingulata; Dasypodidae
Description: lncRNA (ENSDNOG00000049885.1)
Source: RNAcentral
AACUUUAAGUCUAACAGGGAAGAGGUCUACCACGUUGAGUCUGAUUCUUGUUUGAUCUAAGAGCUUCCAAUAGUCUCCUUUAUUUCUUCUGUUGCAGGAACCUCCAACUGGCUUGGCUCAGCUGAUUUUUCUAUCACUGCUGGGCCUUCUGACUCACUCUGAUUCACCAACUGGUUAUUAAUUACAAGACCUGGAAAGGGUUUAAUGACUGUGAAUUUGAAAAACUCUGCAGAAUCUAUGAUCCUUCUCAUGGAGCUGAUUUCCAGGGCUCUUAGAGGCGGUGCUCUUCGUAAUGGCUGUCUCCAACAUUUGGGGCUUUUUCAUGAUGAAUUUAAUCUUGGCUUUGUUUCUGAGAAUCUUCUCCAGCCUCAUAAUGCCAAAAGUAGAUGUCUUCAGAAUGGCACAGCCUCAGACUUGGAAUUCGGUACCAUGAAGAACUUCUAA